CGCGCCUCUGCCGGGCCGGGCUCAGCAGCGCGGCGAUCUCCCAAGAGGGCUGCUCCCGCCGAGAGUGUCCGUGUGCCUCCCUUCCAGGCAUCGGGGCUGAGGAUGGGGAGAAUCCUGGGGGCCCAGGAGACCGUGCCCUGCCUGAACGCUCAGCCCGAAGGCUGGAAGAACCUGCCCUGAACGAGCCCCCUGCAGCUGCCUGGUGACUCCUCCUUCUUUGAACCUUCUCCGUGUGAGCGGUAC
Molecule: long non-coding RNA, 243 nt
Filed under: Dasypus novemcinctus (nine-banded armadillo)
Lineage: Eukaryota; Metazoa; Chordata; Mammalia; Cingulata; Dasypodidae
Description: lncRNA (ENSDNOG00000052677.1)
Source: RNAcentral